AGGGUUUGAUCCUGGCUCAGAUUGAACGCUGGCGGAAUGCUUUACACAUGCAAGUCGAACGGCAGCACGGGUGCUUGCACCUGGUGGCGAGUGGCGAACGGGUGAGUAACAUAUCGGAACGUACCCAGUAAUGGGGGAUAACUAACCGAAAGGUUAGCUAAUACCGCAUACGCCCUGAGGGGGAAAGCGGGGGAUCGAAAGACCUCGCGUUAUUGGAGCGGCCGAUAUCUGAUUAGCUAGUUGGUGAGGUAAAGGCUCACCAAGGCGACGAUCAGUAGCUGGUCUGAGAGGAUGAUCAGCCACACUGGAACUGAGACACGGUCCAGACUCCUACGGGAGGCAGCAGUGGGGAAUUUUGGACAAUGGGGGAAACCCUGAUCCAGCCAUUCCGCGUGAGUGAAGAAGGCCUUCGGGUUGUAAAGCUCUUUCGGCAGGGAAGAAACGCUCUGGAUUAAUACUCUGGGGUAAUGACGGUACCUGAAGAAGAAGCACCGGCUAACUACGUGCCAGCAGCCGCGGU
This 520-nucleotide ribosomal RNA is filed under the name uncultured bacterium. Its description in RNAcentral is "bacterial SSU rRNA". It matches the Rfam family "Bacterial small subunit ribosomal RNA", at positions 8 to 521 of the family's 1533-position model. The record is from RNAcentral.